GCUUGUCUCAAAGAUUAAGCCAUGCAUGUCUCAGUAUAAGCUUCUAUACGGCGAAACUGCGAAUGGCUCAUUAAAACAGUUAUAGUUUAUUUGGUGGUCAACUCUUACAUGGAUAACCGUGGUAAUUCUAGAGCUAAUACAUGCGCAAAGUCCUGACUCGCGAGGGGAGGGAUGUAUUUAUUAGAUACAAAACCAAUGCGGGUUCUGCUCGCCAUUGUGUUGAAUCAUAGUAACUUAUCGAACGCCAUAGCCUUGUGCUGGGCGUAGAUCAUUCAAAUUUCUGCCCUAUCAGCUUUCGACGGUAGUGUAGUGGACUACCGUGGCGUUAACGGGUAACGGGGAAUUAGGGUUCGAUUCCGGAGAGGGAGCCUGAGAAACGGCUACCACAUCCAAGGAAGGCAGCAGG
Molecule: ribosomal RNA, 406 nt
Filed under: uncultured Rhogostoma
Lineage: Eukaryota; Cercozoa; Thecofilosea; Cryomonadida
Description: partial small subunit ribosomal RNA
Rfam family: Eukaryotic small subunit ribosomal RNA
Source: RNAcentral